Molecule: ribosomal RNA, 271 nt
Filed under: uncultured archaeon
Lineage: Archaea
Description: partial 16S ribosomal RNA
Rfam family: Archaeal small subunit ribosomal RNA
Source: RNAcentral
CAGCACCACAAGUGGCGGUCACGAUUAUUGGGCCUAAAGCGUCCGUAGCCGGUUAGGUAAAUCUCUUGUGAAAUCGACGCGCUUAACGUGUCGGCUUGCAGGAGACACUGCCCAACUAGGAACCGGGAAGAGUCAGAAGUAUUAUUGGGGUAGCGGUAAAAUGCUAUAAUCCUUUUAAGACUACCGAUGGCGAAGGCAUCUGACUAGAACGGCUUCGACGGUGAGGGACGAAAGCCAGGGGAGCAAACCGGAUUAGAUACCCGUGUAGUCC